This 68-nucleotide transfer RNA is filed under the name Marmota monax (woodchuck). RNAcentral's name for it is "tRNA.Ala". The record is from RNAcentral. Lineage: Eukaryota; Metazoa; Chordata; Mammalia; Rodentia; Sciuridae.
GGCUUGUGGCUCACCGGAAGAGUUCUUGCCUAGCAUGUUGGAGGCCCUGGGUUCAAUCCUCAGCACCA